CAAUAGCGUAUAUUAAAGUUGUUGCGGUUAAAAAGCUCGUAGUUGGAUUUCUGGUGGAGACAACCGGUCCGGCUUAAGGCCGUGUAUCUGGUCUGGCUCCGUCAUCCGGAAGUUUAAGGUGCGUCGCUUUAUUGCGAUGUCCGUAAGCUUCCCUUUUACUUUGAGGAAAUUAGAGUGUUCACAGCAGGCAAUCGCCGUGAAUACGUUAGCAUGGAAUAAUCAUAUAGGACUUCGGCCCUAUUUUGUUGGUUUCUAGAGCUGAAGUAAUGAUUAAUAGGAACAAUUGGGGGCAUUCGUAUUAUGGCGUCAGAGGUGGAAUUCUUGGAUUGCCGUACGACGAACUACUGCGAAAGCAUUUGCCAAGGAUGUUUUCAUUGAUCAAGAACGAAAGUAAGGGGAUCGAAGAUGAUUAGAUACCAU
Molecule: ribosomal RNA, 420 nt
Filed under: uncultured eukaryote
Lineage: Eukaryota
Description: SSU rRNA
Rfam family: Eukaryotic small subunit ribosomal RNA
Source: RNAcentral